AAAAGAUUUUGUUUCGAAGUAGUGUCAGUAUAUAUGAGAGCGGAGUGUGUGCACAUCCUUAUAUCGUCCUUCAAUAAUUUACCAAUUUUAAAAAUUGUAUUCCAGAAGAUAAAAUUGUAACUCAAAUAAAAGAUUGCUUGUUUUGUUAGUUAUGUUUGCGUUUCCUUUUUAGGUCUAGAAUAUUGUUUUGUGUCAUUUUAGAAUGUCAUUUUCAUCUGUGUUUAGGUUAAAUAUAUAAGAGACUUCGUUCAUAUGAAAUGCAUGGUCAUAUAGUCACUAACUUAUUAUAUAUGUAUUAAUAAUGGCUAUUCCCUAAUUAUUCUGUAACUAUUGUUAGCACAGUCAGUAGAGAAAAAAAACUGUUGUUUAGCACACAAAAGAGGAAAAAUGGUUCACGAUUCAGAGUAUUCGUUGUGUGAGGAAAUAAAUAACGACCCAGUUCUCAGCUGCCUCCUCACAUACUGCGGGGCCAAAAAAAAAGGGGUAAAGCUGUUGUGUUUUCCCUAUCCAACUCAAUAUGGGUUUCCAAC
RNAcentral lists this long non-coding RNA (530 nucleotides) under Brassica napus (rape). RNAcentral describes it as "long non-coding RNA (BNAP_LNC027128)". Lineage: Eukaryota; Viridiplantae; Streptophyta; Magnoliopsida; Brassicales; Brassicaceae. The record is from RNAcentral.